This 1361-nucleotide ribosomal RNA is filed under the name Providencia rettgeri. Its description in RNAcentral is "partial 23S ribosomal RNA". It matches the Rfam family "Bacterial large subunit ribosomal RNA", at positions 1589 to 2925 of the family's 2925-position model. The record is from RNAcentral. Lineage: Bacteria; Pseudomonadati; Pseudomonadota; Gammaproteobacteria; Enterobacterales; Morganellaceae.
AGUAGCUCAUGCCCCGCUUCCAGGAAAAGCCUCUAAGCUCUAGAUUAUCAUUAAUCGUACCCCAAACCGACACAGGUGGUCAGGUAGAGAAUACUCAGGCGCUUGAGAGAACUCGGGUGAAGGAACUAGGCAAAAUGGUGCCGUAACUUCGGGAGAAGGCACGCUGGCGCUAGGUGAAGUCCCUCGCGGAUGGAGCUGAAGCCAGUCGCAGAUACCAGCUGGCUGCAACUGUUUAUUAAAAACACAGCACUGUGCAAACACGAAAGUGGACGUAUACGGUGUGACGCCUGCCCGGUGCUGGAAGGUUAAUUGAUGGGGUUAUCCGUAAGGAGAAGCUCUUGAUCGAAGCCCCAGUAAACGGCGGCCGUAACUAUAACGGUCCUAAGGUAGCGAAAUUCCUUGUCGGGUAAGUUCCGACCUGCACGAAUGGCGUAAUGAUGGCCAGGCUGUCUCCACCCGAGACUCAGUGAAAUUGAACUCGCUGUGAAGAUGCAGUGUACCCGCGGCAAGACGGAAAGACCCCGUGAACCUUUACUAUAGCUUGACACUGAACAUUGAGCCUUGAUGUGUAGGAUAGGUGGGAGGCUUUGAAGUGUGGACGCCAGUCUGCAUGGAGCCAACCUUGAAAUACCACCCUUUAAUGUUUGAUGUUCUAACGUAGCCCCGUUAUCCGGGGUGCGGACAGUGUCUGGUGGGUAGUUUGACUGGGGCGGUCUCCUCCCAAAGAGUAACGGAGGAGCACGAAGGUUGGCUAAGCAUGGUCGGACAUCAUGCGGUUAGUGCAAAGGCAUAAGCCAGCUUGACUGCGAGAGUGACGGCUCGAGCAGGUACGAAAGUAGGUCUUAGUGAUCCGGUGGUUCUGAAUGGAAGGGCCAUCGCUCAACGGAUAAAAGGUACUCCGGGGAUAACAGGCUGAUACCGCCCAAGAGUUCAUAUCGACGGCGGUGUUUGGCACCUCGAUGUCGGCUCAUCACAUCCUGGGGCUGAAGUAGGUCCCAAGGGUACGGCUGUUCGCCGUUUAAAGUGGUACGCGAGCUGGGUUUAGAACGUCGUGAGACAGUUCGGUCCCUAUCUGCCGUGGGCGUUGGAAGAUUGAAAGGGGCUGCUCCUAGUACGAGAGGACCGGAGUGGACGCACCACUGGUGUUCGGGUUGUCAUGCCAAUGGCAUUGCCCGGUAGCUAAGUGCGGAAGAGAUAACCGCUGAAAGCAUCUAAGCGGGAAACUUGCCUUGAGAUGAGUCUUCCCUGACCCUUAAAGGGUCCUAAAGGAACGUUUAAGACUAAGACGUUGAUAGGUUGGGUGUGUAAGCGUAGCGAUACGUUGAGCUAACCAAUACUAAUGAACCGUGAGGCUUAACCUG